GGGAGUUGGUUGCGCCUCGUCUACAAGCAACCAUGACAACCAGGUGGGAGUUGGUACGCCUCGUCUACAAGCAACUAUGACAACCAGGUGGGAGUUGUUAUGCCUCGUCUACAAGCAACCAUGACAACCAGGUGGGAGUUGGUACGCCUCGUCUACAAGCAACCAUGACAACCAGGUGGGAGUUGGUACGCCGUCUACAAGCAACCAUGACAACCAGGUGGGAGUUGGUACGCCUCAUCUACAAGCAACCAUGACAACCAGGUGGGAGUUGGUACGCCUCGUCUACAAGCAACCAUGACAACCAGGUGGGAGUUGGUACGCCUCGUCUACAAGCAACUAUGACAACCAGGUGGGAGUUGUUAUGCCUCGUCUACAAGCAACCAUGACAACCAGGUGGGAGUUGUUACGCCUCGUCUACAAGCAACCAUGACAACCAGGUGGGAGUUGUUACGCCUCGUCUACAAGCAACCAUGACAACCAGGUGGGAGUUGGUACGCCGUCUACAAGCAACCAUGACAACCAGGUGGGAGUUGGUACGCCUCAUCUACAAGCAACCAUGACAACCAGGUGGGAGUUGGUACGCCGUCUACAAGCAACCAUGACAACCAGUUGGGAGUUGGUUACGCCUGGUCUACAAGCAACCAUGACAAGCAGGUGGGAGUUGGUUACGCC
Oncorhynchus keta (chum salmon) is the source of this 672-nucleotide long non-coding RNA. RefSeq lists it as uncharacterized. The record is from RefSeq and is a predicted model, not a curated record. NCBI's taxonomy places the organism in Eukaryota, Metazoa, Chordata, Actinopteri, Salmoniformes, Salmonidae. The transcript is spliced from 4 exons.